GGUCCCGAGCGUUAUCCGGAUUUUUGGGGCGUAAACCCAGCGCAGGCGGUUAUAUAGGUCUGAAGUUAAGGGCUGUGGCUUAACCAUAGUACGCUUUGGAAACUGUUUAACUUGAGUGCAGAAGGGGAGAGUGGAAUUCCAUGUGUAGCGGUGAAAUGCGUACAUAUAUGGAGGAACACCGGUGGCGAAAGCGGCUCUCUGGUCUGUAACUGACGCUGAGGCUCGAAAGCGUGGGGAGCAAACAGGAUUAUAUACCCUGGUAGUCCACGCCGUAAACGAUGACUGCUAGGUGUUGGGUCCUUUCCGGGACUUAGUGCCGCACCUAACGCAUUAAGCACUCCGCCUGGGGAGUACGACCGCAAGGUUGAAACUCAAA
This 376-nucleotide ribosomal RNA is filed under the name uncultured bacterium. Its description in RNAcentral is "bacterial SSU rRNA". It matches the Rfam family "Bacterial small subunit ribosomal RNA", at positions 530 to 905 of the family's 1533-position model. The record is from RNAcentral.